UUCAAGAGCAUUGUAUGAUAGGUCAAGAUAUGUGAUAGAAGUGAGAUUUCCAAUAUCAUUUGGAACGAUACCAUGAAAAUUGUUAGACUCAGUAUUGAGGGAUCCAAGAUCGAGGUGUUCAAGGCUAGUUAUAUGAUAUAACCAAUCAGGAAUAGGAGAAGUGAAGUAGUUAUAAGAAAGAUCUAGGAAUCUAAGAGAAGUCAUGUUACGAAGACUUGAUGGAAUUGGGCCCUGAAUAUUGUUAAAUGCUAGAUUAAGAGUAACAAGAGAAUUAAGAUUAGCAAACCGAUCAAAUGAUAUAGAAAUAAAAUAAUUAUUUGAAAGGUCAAGGAUGACUAGAGAUGAAAAAUUGACAUGUGGGAGAGGGUCAAUAGUUUGAAGCCCACACGUCGACAAGCGCAACACAGAUAAAGAAUGGAACUUGUUCAUUACCUGUAACCAAUUUGAUGCUUUGCUUAGGUUCACACCUGUCAUGUCAAGGAACUCUAGGAAGGUAAGACCAAAAAUCCACUCAAGAUCCUCAGCAUUCAAAUAAGAAUUCCCAAUGUCAAGAUAAUGCAACUUGGAUAAAUUUCCGAGUUGAUGAGGAAUAACACCACCAAAAUCUGCACUAGAGAGGUUAAGAUAUCUUAAAUUGGAGAGGGCACCAAAGAAUUUUGGAAUAUUAAGGAACCCAAAGUAAUUACAGCUCAAGUCCAAGUAUCGAAGAUGCUUCAAGUCCAACAAAGAACUACUUAUCUCACCACCCAGAGAACCAUGAUCUGGAUAAAGAUCCCGUCGGAGGUUGAGCUUGAGAACAUGUCCUGUUGUGUUGUGACAACGAACUCCUUCCCAAUUACAACACUCUUCACUGACCCAAGAAGAGAGUCUAUUUGAAGGAUCAUGAAUGCCUCUUUUGAAGCUCUAAAGAGCUUCUCUUUCUUCUUCUCUGCAAAGAGCCUUUGGACUAUGCCCAGCACAAAAACCGAACUUUGUGAUUGUAGUGAAAAGAAAAUAGAGCAAGAGAACCACUAAACCUCUCAUGUACAACUCCAUUAGGCGAGAUGAUUUUAGAGCACACAAUGUGAAGGGUUUCAAGGAUUAUCUAAUAUUUAUAGUCAUUAGAGACAUGGCCGACAAGACUAUAGUGUUGCCUUAUUCUAAAAAUUUCUGAUGUCGAUAGGUCAAUUUAUUGUGUUAAAAAAGGAUAGCUGUGGAGUGUGGACUAGCUGUGUAUACGGAUAGGUUUCGUGGAAAAGAAAAUACAUGAAAUGGCAUAAUUACACUUGCUAUGAUGUAAGUUUAGAAAAGUAUUUCCAUGUUCUGCAAUUUUAAGUAAAAUCCAAUACUAUUAAAGAUGACAUAAUUAUAUAUUUUAUUAAAUAUAUAAUGCCGAUCUUGUCUCCAAUAACUUGUCGGUUGGAGUUCACUCUGGCUUUGAUAUUUUUACAAACUAAAUAAUUUUUAUUUAAGGAGAAUCUUAUUAGUAUUUUAUUUUUAUCAUUUUUCAUGUUAUUCAAAUAUAUGUAAAUCAUUUUCUCUUAUAUUUUUCUCUUUUAUUUAAUUAGCAUGUUUUAGGAACCAAACUUCAUCUUAAAAUUUUAGAAUAAGUUCAUUGCAUAAAUAAUUAAAAAAACAUUUCAUACAAAUGAUGGUUAAUACAUGUAUAUAUAAGAAAGUACAAGACAUUAGUUUUUAGAAAACAUUGGAUAGGGAUGGCAACGAGAUGAGUUCAGGAUGGAUUAUCUCCAUCCCAACCUCAUCCCAUUUAUUUAUAUCUAUUUUGGCUCAUCCCCACAAAAAAAAAAAAAAAAAAAAAAAAAAAAACAUUUAAAGAGGGCAAUAAAUGAGAAAGUAUAAGACAUUAGUUUCUAGAAACCAUUGGAUAAGGAUGGUAAAGGAGCAAGAUGGAUCACUCUCAUCCAAAUCUCAUCCCAUUUAUUUAUAUCUAUUCUCAUCCUUGCUAAAAAAAAUAAAAUAAUAAAAUUAAAUAGGGUUGGGUAGAAUUGGUAUAGGAAAUUCCAAUAAUCCCCAUAUGCCUCAUUUAUUUUUUAUUUUAAAAAUUUUAAAUAUUAUCUAUCAAUAAAGAAAUAUUAUAAAUAUUUAUAAUUUUGAAAAGUAAUAUUUUAUGUAUGUUAAAAAAUUUUGAAAAAAAACAAAAAACGAAAAUAAUUUUUUUAUUUAGAAUUACAUAUAAUUGGGGUGGGGUAGAGUGGGAAAAAGUUGUACCUAAACUCGCCCCAAACCCAUCUUGGUUUUUAAAACUUCACAAACUUGUCUUGAACCCAUUUAUCUUUAUCCCAAUCUCUUCCUAUUUGGGGAGGGAUGGGUAGGUAUUCAAAAAAACCUAUUCCAUUGUCAUCCCUACUAUUGGACCAUGAUGAAAUUAUCAUACAUUUUAUAUUAAAGAGUAAAAAUCACUUUAUAAAAGUAGAGAUACAUGUAGUAUGUACCACGCAUAAAUAUAAUGUUACACAUUAAUGUUAUACCUAUAACAGUAUCAUGACCUUAGCUUUCUCCGUGUGAAAAAUUUUAAAAUAUCAAGGAUUAUUUUUGGUAGUAGAAGGAUGACUCUCUCUUACCGUGGUUGACUUGCAAGUAAUGAGAGUGACCGUGACAAAAUUUUCCAUGAAAAGAAGAAAAGAUGAUCAUAUGGUCUUGUCCUCUUUGUGAUUUCCUCUACCAUAUUGCCCAACUAGUAAAAACCAAUGUCAUGGGAAUAUGGUCUGUUUGCAAUUAGGCUUGGUCGUGCUUGACUAGCAAAGAGGCAAAUGACAAAAUCUUCUGGGUUUUCUAAGUUAAUUAAAAGAAAAAUGCAAUUUUUCAAAUGAAAAUGUAAUUUCUAUUUCUCCGAGGAUACAUAAAUUUGUAUCUCCUCAUUCAAUAUGCCUUAUACACGAAGUAGUUUUAGGAUCAUCAUUUUUUCUCACUAAAUAAAAGAAGCUAUUGGCAACAGUGAUAAGUAUAGCCAUUAGCAGCAAAAAGAAGAUCGUGCAACCUUUAAUCACAGCUACUUAAAAGCCCAUUAAAACUUGCUUGCAUUUUAUAGAUGUAUUUUCAUCUUCAUUUCCAUGAAGAAAAUUUGGCAAUCAAAGAUAUAAUAUAUAUAUAUAUAUCUGUAUAGAACUUCACAUGUAUAUCUCAUUAGAGGACAUCUAUUCCUCUAUUUGCAUACAUAAUAAUCCAAAUUAUAUGUUUUAAUUUUUUGGGUCAACUUUCCACAUAGUUAGGAACAAAUAAUGAAAAAAAAAAAGUCAUCUAUUGACUCUUCUCGCUACCCAACAGCAGAAGCAGACAAUUGGCCUGUAGGUAGUGAGGGCACGAGCUUGACCCAUAGGCUAUGAAAAUGAGAUGGCUUUUAAAAAACUGCAUGCAGAAAUUGAAAGAAAUGAAAUUUUAAGCAACACGCCAAUGUGUAUAUACACAGUGGACAAUGAUCUUUGCCCGUAGGUGGUGAAAAUGAGAUGGCUUUAAAAAACUGCAUGCAGAAAUUGAAAGAAAUGAAAUUUUAAGCAACACGCCAAUGUGUAUAGACACAGUGGACAAUGAUCUUUGCCCGUAGGUGGUGAGGCAUGAGCUUGACCCAUAGGCUAUGAAAAUGAGAUGGCUUUUAAAAAACUGCAUGCAGAAAUUGAAAGAAAUGAAAUUUUAAGCAACACGCCAAUGUGUAUAUACACAGUGGACAAUGAUCUUUGCCCGUAGGUGGUGAGGCAUGAGCUUGACCCAUAAGCUAUGAAAAUGGGAUGGCUUUUAAAAACUGCAUGCAGAAAUUGAAAGAAAUGAAAUUUUAAGCAGCACGCCAACGGGGAAUCUAAAGCUCAAAAUGUGGAAUUCCUGUUGUCAAUGCAAUAUAUAUAUAUAUAUAUAUAUAUAUAUAUAUAUAUUUCCUUCAACACAGUGGACAAUGAUCUUUGCCCAUAGGUAGUGAGGGCAUGAGCUUGACCCAAAGGCUAUGAAAUGAGAUGGCUUUAAAGAACUGCUUGCAAAAGUUGAAAGAAAUGAAAUAUAUAUAUAUAUAUAUAUAUAUUUCCUUCAACACAGUGGAAAAUGAUCUUUGCCCGUAGGUAGUGAGGGCAUGAGCUUGACCCAGAGGCUAUGAAAUGAGAUGGCUUUAAAGAACUGCUUGCAGAAGUUGAAAGAAAUGAAAUUUUACUCAGCACGCCAAUGUGGAAUUCCCGUUGUCAAUGCAUUUGAUAACGAAGUUCAGACUCAUAAAAUUAAAAGUUUAGAGUAAAGAGAGAAAUUGAAGUUGAAGGUCAAGCCAUGAAAAGCCUGGGAACUUGAGGGAUUAGUUUUAAAUUCAAUUCAGCCGGCCGGCCAAAGCCACAAAAGGAACUUGGUUUCUCCUGUUGAGUAAUGGUGUUUACAUAAGUCGGCCCCUUUUCUCCCUCAAUAUGCCUAAGACAUGGUUGUAGGGUCUUUCUAACAAGAACUGAAAGGAGUUGUUAAUUAAUGUGGUGAUAAUAAACUACAGAACUUUUGUCAUGAAACAAUUGCUAUAGGUUCAAUAUCAUUUGUGAUUUGCUUAUAAAUUUAUCCAGAAUUGUAUUUCAUAUCUCACUGUUAAAUGUGUCUUUAUUUUUCCUUCCAUUACUUCAUGUACCUUUUUCGAAUGGAUAAUGAUUCUAGAGAAUAUUUAGCAAUGUGAAAGAUUAAGGUAAUGUUUGAUAAAAUAAAAAAUAAUUGGCAAUGUGCACUUAAAUCCUUUUUUCCAUGGUUAUUCCUUGUGCUUCAAAUGUCCCUAUACGUUUAGUGCCUUGGCCUCUACGCUCUGAGCGAGCCUCAACCUUGUUAAGAGUGCCUCAUGUUCAUCCUUGUUGUUCAUAACAUCGAAGCCUAGGCAUUCGAAUGGCCUUCUUAGGGUCAUAUCUUUAGGAGAUACUAAGGCCACCCAUGCUUUUGUAUGGACGUGGCUGUAGCUGAGCUGUCCACCCUAAAUUCCCAUGGCAAACUUAUGCUUAGGUUAGAUUCUCAUGUCAUGUCUGAUUCUUUACUUUUCGUGAAGUCUACCAGGAAAUUUGCAACCAUUUAUGUCUUCAAGGUGAUUGGCAUACAUGAGUCUGUUAAUUAUUAAUCAUAGCUGGUUUUAAAGAAACUUUCAGAGUUCUUGGCAUUGUUAUAAUCCUUUUAUCUGGCAUUAGGAUUUCGUCUUUGACAAGCAAACGUUCAGAAUGAGACCCUUGGGUGAUAAAAUGAUUAUAUAAAUUGCAAAGGUUUAAGGAACUGCUACAACAAACCAUGGCAAUCAACUUUGUGGAAACUGAAUGGAGUAAAUUACAGUAAGAUCGCAAAGUACUUGAGGUUGCAGUGAGGCAGCAACUUCAUGAAAAAAGACAAGUCCAAGUGCAAAAGCUAUAUAAUUUUUAUUAAUGAUGCCAAGCUAUAAGCCACAAAUGGAUAAUAAAUGGUGAAUGAAAGACUAGAAAAUGGAGUCAAGAUGAUAAGACUGAAUAUGUGAGCAGUUGAAACAAAUAUGAAUAUUGAAAGUAUAAAGCGACAAUGAGGUAGUGAAUUUCAUUAUCAUUGUGGAAGUAGCUUGAAAAUGCUGAACUCACCUACCUCUGAAGAUACUUCAGCUGUGGUUGCCAAGAAAAGUGAGUAAAGGCUAGGAAAGAAAAUAAAAAUUUUAAAUCAAGGAACCACCUGGGGCGGAUUUCAUCUAGGAAGAAAGAAACAUUUUAUGGGUUUUGCAAUAACUCAAAAUUUUAUUUCACAGAUUGCUUCUCUUACAUAUACAAUGACAUGAGAUCUGUUUGCAGUGAUUAACAUUUCUCUUGAUUAGAUGUGUUAGACUGACACUUCUAUCCAAAUAUUUAUUUUUUUGGUGUUUUUGAGUCAUGAAAACUCCAUGUUAGAUUUAUCUGAGCAACCGAAAUUAAUAGUCACAAAAGGAAAGUUAGGAUAUGAGUGUUGGGUUUCCCUUCUUUGUGGGACUCUUAAAUUUACUAAAUAUGGUUUUGCUAUUUUUGGCCAACACCUUGGUUAGCACAUGACUCUUGGCAUAUUCAAGAUUGGUUUGAAGUCUUCAAGGAAAGAAAAAGCUACAAGUCUUUUUGUCUUUUCCUUGGGUUCAUUAUCUUGGUCGGAAAGAAGACUUUUGGGAUACCUUUUUGGUUCAAACAAAAUAAAAAGAAAAUCAGCCUUCUUCUUCUCUAUUUUUUUUUGGUGCUACACAAUCAGCAAGUUUGUUCUUCAAGUGGGUAACGUUCCUUCACUUGAUAUUUGGGGUUUCUUGCGGUUUGUUCUUGGAGAUUUGGUUUACUUUUGUGAGGUAUUUUUCCUCUUGUAAUUUACACCUUGGUGUGUUUGUAAGGCUUAUGCCUUUUGGCCACUUUGUAAACUCUUUUGGUGAUAGUGGAAGAAACUGACCUACCGGUCGUCGUGGACGUACCUCAAGUUAUUUGAGGGAACCACGUAAAUCUUGUGUGCUCAUUUAUUUUCUGUUAUUCUAUUUAUAUUGCUUCCAUUGAUUUACACUUGUGGGAAAGCCUAGUUUUUUUUCAACAUCUGGUAUCAGAGCUGUUGGUUAAUUCGAUUCCGAUUCGUUAUAUUUGUGUGUGUGAAUUAUGGACGGCAAUGUUGGGCGUAUGGUUAGUUUCAAUGGCACAAAUUGGGUGACUUGGAAAACUAAAAUGGAAGACCUUUUGUUUUGUAAAGAUUUGAAUGGACCCAUAGAGGGUGAUAGUGGCAAACCGGAAGGGAUGAAAGAUGACGAGUGGAAAAAGCUAGACCGAAAAGCUGUCGGUUUUAUUCGGCAAUGGAUUGAUGAUAGUGUCUUUCAUCAUGUCUCUACAGAAAAUUCAGCACAUGGUCUUUGGACCAAAUUGGAGAGUCUUUAUGAUAGAAAGACGGCCGUGAAUAAAGCUUUUUUAUUUCGAAAGCUUGUGAAUUCUAAAUAUAAGGAGGGUACUCCUAUUGCAGAGCAUUUGAAUGAGAUUAAGAGCAUUGUGAAUCAAUUGGCCGCCAUGAAAAUUACCUUUGAUGAUGAGUUGCAAGCUUUGUUACUUCUUAGUUCACUUCCUGAAAGCUGGGAAACUUUGGUGGUCACAGUUAGUAACUCCACACCUGAUGGAGUGGUAACAAUGAGUCAAGUUACUAGCAGCCUGUUGAAUGAAGAGACAAGAAGAAAAUCAUCAGGUUCUUCUCACUCCGAGGCACUUGUGAUAGAAAAUCGAGGGAGAGGCAGGAGUAAGAGUAAGGCUUCGCACAACCGUGAUAAAUCUAGAGGUCGUUCAAGCUCGAUUUCAAAGAAAGAUGUUGAGUGCUAUUAUUGUCACAAGAAAGGGCACAUGAAGCGGGAGUGCAGAAAACUCAAGUUCAAGGAGCAGAACAAAGAGAAAAAUUCAGAGAAAAAGCAAAAUGAUACAGCUGUAGUUACCGAUGGUGAACUCAUGAUUAUUCGUGAUGAUGUUAGCGUUAAUUUGAUUGGCCAAGAGACGGAUUGGGUAAUUGAUUCUGGAGCUUCAUUUCAUGUUACUUCGCGGGCUGAUUUCUUUACUUCUUACUCGCAAGGUGAUUUUGGGAAUGUCCGUAUGGGAAAUGAAGAUGUGUCAAAAAUUGUCGGCAUGGGUGACAUUUGCUUGGAAACAAAUACUGGAUGCAAAUUGUUGCUUAGAGAUGUGAGGCAUGUACCGGAUAUUCGGCUCAAUUUAACGGAACUGAUAUUUUUGCAAAAAUCUGCAAGUGUGUUGUGAAUACCUUAGAGAAUGACUCAUCCACCGAUUUAUGGCAUAGAAGGCUUGGACAUAUGAGUGAGAAAGGAUUGCAAGUUUUAUCCAAGAAAGAGCUUCUAGCGGGGAUAAAAGGUACGCCUUUGAAAACAUGUGUUCAUUGUUUCCAUGGUAAACAAAAUAGAAUAUCAUUCCGUAGAAACAUUGCAUUUAGAAAAUCUCAUGUUCUAGAUUUGAUACAUUCUGAUGUGUGUGGUCCUUUGAAAGUUAGGACACUUGGUGGUGCUCAAUACUUUGUCACUUUUAUUGAUGAUCACUCUAGAAAAGUUUGGGCUUAUACACUGAAAACUAAAGAUCAAGUUCUAGAUGUGUUUAAGCAUUUUCAGGCCAAGGUUGAAAGAGAAACUGGUAGACAGUUGAAAUGUGUCCGCUCGGAUAAUGGUGGUGAAUAUAUUGGACCAUUUGAUCAGUAUUGCACUAAUCAUGGCAUCAGGCACGAAAAGACAGUAAAAAAGACACCUCAACAGAACGGGGUUGCAGAGAGAAUGAAUCGCACCAUUCUUGAGAGAGUCAGAUGUUUGCUCUCACAUUCUAAAUUGCCAAGAUCUUUUUGGGGUGAGGAAAUGAGGACAGCAGUUGAUCUUAUCAAUUUGUCUCCUUCAGUUCCGUUGAAUGACAAAUUUGUCUCCUUCAGAUCUCAUGUACGCAAAUUGUUGUAUGACAAAUUUAAAUGGCUCAAAAAUGAUAUUUUUGCCAUACCUUGAGGAAUAACACCAGAAAGUCUGUUCAUGGAGAGAUCAAGAGACUCCAUUGAUGUCAUGGCCCCAAUCUUCACAGGAAUCUUCCCUUGGAGAUGGUUAUUAGACAGGUUCAAGAAUACCAAACCAUGGAGACCUGUGAGUUCUUCUGGGAUCUCACCAGAUAACUUAUUGCUUGAGAGGUCCAUGCCAGCUAGGAGGCCAAGAAUAUUGCUGUACUCGUACUCUACUCCUUUCAUAACCAGUGUUGCUGUGUCGGUUGAUCCCGAUUCAAAAUAACGUUCAUUAUGAAAAGGAAAGGGGGAACUUGAAUUCGAUUGUUUGAUCAUGCUGCUGAAAUUACCAAAGCAUCUGGGAAUGGUUCCGGAGAGAUUGUUGUUUCCCAAGUCCAGGAUUUGAAGGGAAUGAAGGUGGCAAAGUUCAAGAGGAAUACUUCCAUUGAACUUAUUUGAAUGAAGGACAAGAACCAUUAGACCCGGUGUAUAUGUAAUCUCACCAUCCCCUGGUAAUAUUUCAAUGAACUUUCCAUUGAAGUUCCCCAUCCAUGCUGGUAUCGUCCCAGUGAAUUCAUUCUUACUAAGGUCUAGAACCACUAGACUAGAGCAAUUUUUCAAUGGAAGUGGAUAAUUUCCGGAGAGAUGGUUGUUGCGCAAGUGCAAUGAACCGAGCCAAAUUAGAGAACCCAUGGAGCUAGGUAUAUGUCCCGUCAGAUUAUUAUUUCCCAAUUUUAACAUCGUCAAUUCUCUCCAAUACAUCCAACAAUUGGGAAGUUCUCCUGACAGAAGAUUUCCUGAGAUGUCUAGAGACUCCAAUAAAUUUACUUCUUUAUCAGUUCUCCGACACAACAUGGGUGAAAGAGAUCCACAGAAUAAAUUAUUGGAGAGGUCUAGUCUUUCUACAUCAGAAGAGAUUUGGGGCAGUGGAUCAGUAAAAUUGUUUGAGCCAAGAUUGAUUGAUGAAAAAUGUAAACUUGGAAUACUACCAAUGAUUUGGUUGUGAGAUAGAUCUACAGUACUAAGUGAUCGAGUCCAAAACCAAGCUGGGAUGACACUGGAGAUUCCUGCAUAGGACAUGUUUAGAUCUUCCAAAUACUCCUGUGUUUGAAGCCAUGCAGGAAAUUGAGGCCCUAGAAGGCAAGAACCCAAGUAUAAGUAUGUGAGUUGAAAAGGAGGAGUCCAGUUGGAGCUGACUUGCAAAGUUAACAAGUUUGAAGAUGCAUCCAAUUCUUCUAAACUUGUUAGAUUGCCAAGGUGCUUUUCAGACAUAAUACCCUUGAAGAAAUUUUCCCUAAUGUUUAGAUAACUUAAGGAUGAAAUUCCUCCUAAUGAGAUAGGAAUCUGACCAGAAAACAAGUUUCUAUCAAUGGAAAGGUAGGAUAAACUUUUGAAUUGGCCAAUUUCACUGGGCAAAUAACCUUAAAGCUGAUUCAUUCCCAAGUCUAAAUGCUCUAAACUUUUACAUUCUCCGAGAGUAUCUGGAAAAGAACCCGAAAGUUUAUUUCCUCUCAACCUUAAAAGCUCUAGACCUUUUUGAGGCCUAUCAUAUGACAAAUUCGAAAGUUGGAAAGUACAAAGAUUUCCUAGAGAUCUUAGUAUUUCUCCUUCAAGAGCAUUGUAUGAUAGGUCAAGAUAUGUGAUAGAGGUGAGAUUUCCAAUAUCAUUUGGAAGCUUACCUUGAAACUUGUUAGAUACAAUGUCAAGGGAUCCAAGAUCGAGGUGUUCAAGGCUAGUUAUAUGAUAUAACCAAUCAGGAAUAGAAGAAGCAAAAUUGUUAUAGGAAAGAUCUAGGAAUCUAAGAGAAGUCAUGUUACGAAGACCUGAUGGAAUUGGACCUUGAAUAUAACUGGAUGCUAGAUUAAGAGUAACAAGAGAAUUAAGAUUCGCAAACCAAUCAAAUGAUGAAGACAUAAAAUAAUUAAUUGAAAGGUCAAGGAUGACUAAAGAUGAAAAAUUGACAUGCGGGAGAGGGUCAAUAGUAUGAAGCUCACAAUAAGAUAAGCGUAGCACAGAUAAAGAAUGAAACUUAUUCAUUACCUGUAGCCAAUUUGAUGUUUUGCUUAGGUUCACAUUUGUCAUGUCAAGAAACUUUAGGAAUGAAAAACUAGAAAUCCAUUCAAGAUCCUCAGCAUUCAAAGAAUUUCUAUGGUCGUAAUAAGAAUUCCCAAUGUCGAGAUAAUGCAACUUGGAUAAAUUUCCAAGUUGAUGAGGAAUAACACCACCAAAACUUGCAGUAGAGAGGUUAAGAUAUCUUAAAUUGGAUAAGGAACCAAGGAAUUUUGGAAUAUUAAGGCUCCCAAAGUCAUUGCAACUCAGGUCCAAGUAUUGAAGAUGCUUCAAGUCCAACAAAGAACUACUUAUCUCACCACCCAGAGAACCAUGAUAUUGAUAAAGAUCCCAUCGGAGGUUGAGCUUGAGAACAUGUCCUGUUGUGUUGUGACAACAAACUCCUUCCCAAUUACAACACUCUUCACUGGCCCAAGAAGAGAGUCUGUUUGAAGGAUCAUGAAUGCCUCUUUUGAAGCUCAAAAGAGCUUCUCUUUCUUCUUCUCUGCAAAGAGCCUUCGAACCAUGUCCAUCACAACAACCGAACUUUGUGGCUAGAGUGAAAAGAAAAUAGAGCGAGAGAACCACCAAACCUCUCAUGUACAACUCCAUUAGGCUAGAUGAUUUUAGAGCACACAAUGUGAAAGGUUUCAAGGAUUAUUUAAUAUUUAUAGUCAUUAGAGGCAUGACCCACAAGACUAUAGUGUUGUCUUAUUUCUAAAAAUUUCUAACAUUGAGAGCUCAAUUAUUGUAUUAAAAAAGGAUGGUUGUGGAGUGUGGACUAGUUGUGUGCAUGGAUAAAUUUCAUGUAAAAGAAAAUACAUGAAAUGACAUAAUUAAUUACAUAUGUAAAAUGAAUCCUAUUAGUAUUUUUUUAUUCUUAUCAUUUUCCAUGUUAUUUAAAUAUGUGAAAAUCAUUUUUUUUUUAUAUUUUUCUCAUUUAUUUAACUAGUAUUUUUUAGGAACCAAACAUGGUAUUAAACUUAUAUAGAAUAAGUUUAUUACAUAAAUCAUCUAUAAAAAAAAUUCAUACAAAUGAUGGCUAAUAAUAUAUAUAUUAUUGAAUUAUUGUCCAUAGAAGGAUGACUCAACUCUCCUGCCGUGUUUGACUUGCAAGGAAUAUUGAGAGUGACCGUGACAAAAUUUUCCACAAAAAGAAGAAAAAAUGACAAUAUAAUCUUGUCCUCUUUUGUGUUUGCAAUUAGGCUGGGCCAUGCUAUUCAACACCAAUUAAUCACCCAAUCUAUUUAUAUAUUCAUAUCUGCAUAAAAUUAAACUUCACAUAUACAUCUAAUUAAAGGACAUUUAUUCCUCUAUUUGCAUACAUAAUAAUCCAAAUUAUAUAUUUUAGUUAUUUGGGUGAAUUUUCCAUAUAGUUGGGAACAAGUAAUAAAAAAUAAUGAAAAAAAAAGUCAACUAUUUAUCUUCCUUCAUGAUCAUGGAUAGAGCAAAAUAAAACUAGGAAAGAAUUCAAAUUCUUUUAUUUGGUUGGGAGGAAGAAUAUUAAAGGAAAAGUUAAAUUUGAUCAGAAUUAUGUAAAACAAUAUAUGUAUUUUAAAAUUCUUUAUUAUUUAUAUGACAACAAAAAAAACAAAUUUUAAAAUCAUGUGGAAAAAAAUUAUUAAUAUAUAAACAUAUUUAUAAAUAAAUAAAUAUUUAUUUAUUUAUUUUAUUUCUUUAAUUUUUUUUAUUUCAUUUUUUCCACUGUGUAUACCUUCAUCUAAAAUAAGUAAAUAUACAUUUCAACCCUUUUAUAUAAGAAAAAUUCAAUCUCUACUAUGUAUUGAUAUAAUCCACUUCUAAAAUUAGGUUAUAUGAAAACAUUUUAAUUGAGUACUUAAAAUAAAAACUCUCCAUCCAUCCUCUUUAUUUCUUUUUUUUUUUCUUAUUUUAAUAAGUUUUCAAUUAAUUCAAAUCAUUAAAAAAAUCCUUAAUAAAUAAAUUUGUAACAUUUCAUAUAACUUAUUAUUAAAAGUCAUGUUCAAAAAGUUAUUAAAAUAAGGAAGGAAGAAGAUUAAAAAAAAAUUAAACUUUUUAUUUUAUAAUAGUAAAAAAAAAGUUUAAAAUACUUUUUAGUAUAAAAAAAAUUAAAAUAGUGAAUCUAUUUAUUUUAAAUGGUAUUUGAAUCAUUAAAUUAUUUACUUCUAAAAUGUAAAAGAUAAAAAUAAAUGUAAAAUAUAAUUUUUAUUUAUUUAAAUUAAUAUUUUUUAAAAAAGUAUUUUCCAAAAUAGUCUUUGGAUCAUUAAUAUAAUUUUUAUUUAUUUAUAAUUUAAAAAUAAAAAAUAAUGUUAAAUUUUCAAUUAUUUAUAAAAGAGUUUAAAAAAAUAAUGAAAAAUCUAAUAUAGUUAAAUAAGAAAGAAUAGUGGCAAGUAGUAGGAUAAAAACAAAAAUGAGUCAAGUGAUAUUUUUGUUAAUUAUUAUCACAUAAUUACAGAUGAUUGGAGGAUUUUAUCUUAAUUAGAGAGAGAGAGAGAGAGAGAGAGAGAGAGAGAGAGAGAGAGAGAGAGAGAGAGAGAGAGAGAGAGAGAGAGAGAGAGAGAGAGAGAGAGAGUUUAAAAUAUCAAGAAUUAUUUGUGGUUGUAGAAGCAUGACUCUUUGUCCCAUUUUCUCCAAUUUUGUUGAGCAUUAAAAUUUUUGAAAUUGAAUUAUUGUCCUUAGAAGGAUGACUCAACUCUCUUGCCAUGCUUGACUUGCAAGUAAUGAGAGUGACCGUGACAAAAUUUUCCAUGAAAAAUGCAACAAGGCAAUCUAACACGUCUUUAUGCUGGGGGGUCAUCAUAGAAACAGUACACUCACUAUUUAUUAUAUUAAAAUAAAUAUAUUUGAUAAAUAAUUAAAAUAUUAUAAUUUUUUUUUAAGUAGAAAAAUAUAGGAUAAGACAAAAUAAUAUCUAAACCCACCCGAAUCCAACCCGAGUAUUAAAAAAAUCUCAAACCCACUGCAAACGUGUAUUCAAAUUUCAAAUUUGUCCUACGGAGUGGAAAAAACCCGCCCGGGACAGUUGCCAAAUCUGACUAGCAAAGAGUGUGGAAAGAUUUUCAGUGGUUGGAUUUGGCUUUUUAGGCGUUAGGUUUAGUGGUUGACUUGGAAAUGUGAUGCGCAUUAUUGAGGAUGCGCAAUAUAUCUAUAGAAACUUAGCCCAAUCAACAAGAUGGGGCUGUGAGUGGAGAAAAAAGCUAUGAAUUCUACUCAUAUUGUCGAUGAAAAAUUUGAGAAGAAACAUGAUGAUGUUUUUGGUAUAGUUGAUAAAAAAUUUAUUGACUAUUAAAUUUUACAUUCUAAAUGUUUUUUUUUUCAUGUGUUGGUAUAAGAAGUGGUUUGAUAUCUAUAGGAAUGUAAUGCUAAUAUUAUUUAAGUGGGCAAUGAUUCAAAAUUUAAAUUCAUAGUGAUUGGUACCAUAAAAGUGAGAGUGCUUAAUGGUGUUGUAAGGACAUCGAGUAAUUUUUUUUUCUCGGUGAAGAAUGAUAUUAUAAAUUUCAACAAAAGUGCUUUGAUAGCUAUGAAAGGGGAAAAGAUGAAAAAAUUAUGUACUUUAAUUGGAAAGAUAAUUUACGGUAGAGCUCUUAAGGUGGAGUCAUGCCAUGAAGAGUCUUUUACUGGUGUUAAAGAAAUUUUCAAGAGUAGAUGAACAUGAUAAGAUGAUUAGAACACUAUUUUUCGGCUAAAAGUACCCAUUGACAUAAGGAUGAAAGCAAUUUCAAAAUAAAUAAAGUAAUGAAGAAGACAAAGGCGGUUUCUAGAGUCGGGUUCAAUGAGAGUUUGAACUUGACAUAUGUUUAUUCUCAUUAAAUGUAUAGGAUUAAGAAAACUUAAGUCGAGAUGGAGAUUGUUGGUAUUUAACUGAAACUAUUUAUUUUUAAUUUUUAAGAAAGUUAAUAUUUAUAGAAGUUGUAUUUUUGUAAAUUAUUUAUUAACAAAAAGUAAUUGGAGCCGUUUGGAGCAAUAAGAAAAUUGUUUGCUAAGUUUGUAACUAGAUGCAUAAAAAUUCAUGCAUAUUUCAAUAUCAUUAAAAUUAGUUAAAAACUUUUGCAUUUUCCAAUUAUUUCAUUGUUAUAUAAAAGAAUUAAAACAGAUGAGAUGAGUUUAAAGUGACAUACAAAAUAAAUAAUUAAAUUUAAAUUUAUAGUUUUCUUUUUUAUUUUAUUAUUUUUACUUUUGCCUUUAUUUUUUUCUUUCACAUUUUUUUAAGAACCAAACAUGAACUUUAUAUGAAAUUCCCCAUAAAAAUAAAUAAUAAAAAAAGUAAAAAAUCGUAAGUUAAUGAAUCACAAUACUAAAAGUGUGUUUAACAGUGAUUACAUCAAACUUUUUUAAUAUUUUUAACAUUUGAAAAUUUUUAUCUUUUUAAGUGUCAGAAGGAUAAAAAACGCUUUCGACAAUCAUUGUUAAACAGGCUUUAAAGAUCUAUCUUAACUAACCAUUCCCUUCCAUAAUUACCAUAUUUUUCAUAAGUAAGAUGAAUUUUACAAAUACACAAUGUUAUUCACAAUGGAAGAAAUAUCAAAUAUAAAAACUCAUGUUUCUUCAAAUUAGGAUAUCAUUUCGAAGUUUUAGCGAUGAGGCUUUGGUAAAGUAGAUUGGGGCUGUGUGAGGGAGAGUAGAGACGAAGUGACUCGAUUUGGGUCUUUGACACGUUUUUAUUCCAUGCCAUGUCAUCCUCCAGCUUGGUAUCCAAUUCAGAUACUCAUUGAAGCUUAGGCGUGAAACUCUUCAAAGGGGAUUGUUCUUCAACUUUAGCCUUUUUUGUAUUGCCACUAACCACUAAAUAGGCGGAUUUUAGAAAAUGAAUACAGUAUUUUUUAAAAUAUGAUAAUUAAAAAAUUAUUUCCAAUUCCAUGACAAUUUGUAUGAUUUUUUUUUUUUUAAUACAUCAUUGGAAAACACAAGAAAACGACGUCGUUCGAAGCAGAACUGUAAAGCGCCCUUCGGCCUAGCAUCGACUCUCUUCACUGCAAUCGGUGGCUUUUGCGGUCUCUCUCUAGCUCUAGGUAUCAGAUCUCUUCGUUUAUUAAAAUUUUUCUUUGUUUGUUUGAUGAGAAACUAAAAGAAAAUGAGAUAGAUGGAAUGUUCUGAAUCCUAAAGUUUUCAUCAUUUACACCUGGUGGAAACAGAAUCUUCCCCUAAAUUAGCGUUGUAUGAGUAUUUAGCUGAAUUUAGAAUUUUCAAUUUCUUUUCUUUUCCUUAAUUUUAUCAGCACCCAAGCAGUCAUUUAGGGUUUUUCUGGCUUGAGAUAUUGGCAUUUGAUCUAUUUGAUUUUUAUUCUAGUUCAGAAAAAUGUAAAUAUAUUUGCUAAAGAAUUAGAAUAACCAAAAAUUGAUCAUGGAAUUGAGCUAAAAAUUUUCCGGUGCUGCAGAAACUUCAAAAACAAAAAAGUUUGUGUCUCGUCUUAAUUCACAUCCAUAUUUAGCGUUGUUGGGUGAAUUCAUCAAUAAGGAAAAAUGCAGUUCUUUGGAGGGUCGGAGAUCAGCCCAUUGCCGCCGCUGCCAACAGCAUCGGGAAACAAUGCCCACAUAAUGUAUGUGUUUAACAGGAAUGGGGUGUGCUUGCUUUACAGGGAAUGGAAUCGCCCUCUUAGGACUCUGAAUGCCCAGCAAGACCAUAAGCUCAUGCUUGGUCUCCUUUUCUCUCUGAAGUCCUUAACAGCUAAGAUGGAUCCCACUAGUUAUAUCUUCUUCCUAGUCUUUUAUUCGAAUUGGAACUGUUUUCGGGGUGUUUAGGUGUUUUGUGGAAAUGGAAUUACUUGAUUUUGUAUUUGGAUAACUUUUGAAAGCAUAAAUUCAUUGUUUGGAAUACAAUUAUAACAUAUAUGUAAGAAGAAAGAAAUCAGGAUGAGCAAAAGGACAUAAUUUGAACUGAUAAAUUCAAACUUGGGAUCAGUAAAAAAAACAUGGAAAACAAGGUUGCCAAAUUUAUUUGCAAUUACAAACACCAUCCGAGUAGUUUAUACUUCACGUCGUCCAGCAACCGAAAAUAAGCAUGUCUCCAAGCUCUGUUGAAUGCUAAUGGAGCCAAAAUGGCCCAAAAGCCAACCACGAAACCCCAUGGCAUACCCAAAUAGAACCAUUUCAUAUCAAUCCAUCCAUUGUCCUCUUCAUCAUCAUUGUCCGGAAUUGGACCUUUUGGUUUACCAUCUUCCCCACAACCAUCAGUCAGUGGAGCUCCACAAAGCUCCGGGUUGCCAAUGAAACUGAGGGGACUAAAGCCUUGGAUCUGGGUGCCUGAUGGAAUUUUGCCAGACAAGUUGUUGUAUGACAAAUUUAAAUUGCUCAAAAAUGAUAUAUUUGCCAUACCUUGAGGAAUAACACCAGAGAGUCUAUUCAUGGAGAGAUCAAGAGACUCCAGUGAUGUCAUGGCCCCAAUCUUCACAGGAAUCUUCCCUUGGAGAUGGUUAUUAGACAGGUUCAAGAAUAUCAACCCAUGGAGAUCUGUGAGUUCUUCUGGGAUCUCACCAGAUAACUUAUUGCUUGAGAGGUCCAUGCCAGCUAGGAGGCCAAGUGUAUUGUCGUACUCGUACUCUACUCCUUUCAUAACCAGUGUUGCUGUGUCGGUUGAUUCCGAUUCAAAAUAACGUUCAUUAUGAAAAGGAAAUGGGGAACUUGAAUUCGAUUGUUUGGUCAUGCUGCUGAAAUUACUAAAGCAUCUAGGAAUGGUUCCCGAGAGAUUGUUGUUUCCCAAGUCCAGGAUUUGAAGGGAAUCAAGGUGGCAGAGUUCAAGAGGAAUACUUCCAGUGAACUUAUUUGAAUGAAGGACAAGAACCAUUAGACCCGGUGUAUAUGCAAUCUCACCAUCCACUGGUAAUGUUUCAAUGAACUUUCCAUCGAAGUUCCCCAUCCAUGCUGGUAUCGUCCCAGUGAAUUCAUUCUUACUAAGGUCUAGAACCACUAGACUAGAGCAAUUUUUCAAUGGAAGUGGAAAAUUUCCGGAGAGAUGGUUGUUGCGCAAGUGCAAUGAACCGAGCCAAAUUAGAGAACCCAUGGAGCUAGGUAUAUGUCCCGUCAGAUUAUUAUUUCCCAAUUUUAACAUCGUCAAUUCUCUCCAAUACAUCCAACAAUUGGGAAGUUCUCCUGACAGAAGAUUUCCUGAGAUGUCUAGAGACUCCAAUAAAUUUACUUCUUUAUCAGUUCUCCGACACAACAUGGGUGAAAGAGAUCCACAGAAUAAAUUAUUGGAGAGGUCUAGUCUUUCUACAUCAGAAGAGAUUUGGGGCAGUGGAUCAGUGAAAUUGUUUGAGCCAAGAUUGAUUGAUGCAAAAUGUAAACUUGGAAUUCUACCAGAGAUUUGGUUGUGAGACAGAUCAACUGUAUCAAAGGAUCGUGUCCAAAACCAAGCUGGGAUGACACUAGAGAUUCCUGCAUAGGACAUGUUUAGAUCUUUCAAAUACUUCUGUGUUUGAAGCCAUGCAGGAAAUUGAGGCCCUGGAGCUGACUUGCAAAGUUAACAAGUUUGAAGAUGCAUCCAAUUCUUCUAAACUUGUUAGAUUGGCAAGGAGCUUUUCAGAUAUUAUACCCUCGAAGAAGUUUUCCUUAAUGCUUAGAUAACGCAAGGAUGAAAUUCCUCCUAAUGAGACAGGAAUCUGACCAGAAAACGAGUUUCCAUCAAUAGAAAGAGAGGACAAGCUUUCUAAUUGACCAAGUUCAUUGGGCAAAUGACCUGAAAGCUGAUUCAUUCCCAAGUCUAAACCCUCUAAACUUUUACAUUCCCCAAGAGUAUCCGGAAAAGAACCUGAAAGUUUAUUUCCCCUCAAGCUUAAAAACUCUAGACUUUUUCUAGGCCUAUCAUAUGACAAAUUCGAAAGUUGGAAAGUACAAAGAUUUCCAAGAGAUCUCAGCACGUCUCCUUCAAGAGCAUUGUAUGAUAGGUCAAGAUAUGUGAUAGAAGUGAGAUUUCCAAUAUCAUUUGGAAGCUUACCUUGAAACUUGUUAGAUACAAUGUCAAGGGAUCCAAGAUCGAGGUGUUCAAGGCUAGUUAUAUGAUAUAACCAAUCAGGAAUAGAAGAAGCAAAAUUGUUAUAGGAAAGAUCUAGGAAUCUAAGAGAAGUCAUGUUACGAAGACCUGAUGGAAUUGGACCUUGAAUAUAACUAGAUGCUAGAUUAAGAGUAACAAGAGAAUUAAGAUUCGCAAACCAAUCAAAUGAUGAAGACAUAAAAUAAUUAAUUGAAAGGUCAAGGAUGACUAAAGAUGAAAAAUUGACAUGCGGGAGAGGGUCAAUAGUAUGAAGCUCACAAUAAGACAAGCGUAGCACAGAUAAAGAAUGAAACUUAUUCAUUACUUGUAGCCAAUUUGAUGCCUUGCUUAGGUUCACAUUUGUCAUGUCAAGAAACUCUAGGAAUGAAAGACCAAAAAUCCAUUCAAGAUCCUCAGCAUUCAAAGAAUUGCUAUGGUCGUAAUAAGAAUUCCCAACGUCGAGAUAAUGCAACUUGGAUAAAUUUCCAAGUUGAUGAGGAAUAACACCACCAAAACCUGCAGUAGAGAGGUUAAGAUAUCUUAAAUUGGAUAAGGAACCAAGGAAUUUUGGAAUAUUAAGACUCCCAAAGUCAUUGCAGCUCAGGUCCAAGUAUUGAAGGUGCUUCAAGUCCAACAAAGAACUACUUAUCUCACCACCCAAAGAACCAUGAUCUUGAUAAAGAUCCCGUCGGAGGUUGAGCUUGAGAGCAUGUCCUGUUGUGUUGUGACAACGAACUCCUUCCCAAUUACAACACUCUUCAUUGGCCCAAGAAGAGAGUCUGUUUGAAGGAUCAUGAAUGCCUCUUUUGAAGCUCAAAAGAGCUUCUCUUUCUUCUUCUCUGCAAAGAGCCUUCGAACCAUGUCCAUCACAACAACCGAACUUUGUGGCUAGAGUGAAAAGAAAAUAGAGCGAGAGAACCACCAAACCUCUCAUGUACAACUCCAUUAGGCUAUAUGAUUUUAGAGCACACAAUGUGAAAGGUUUCAAGAAUUAUUUAAUAUUUAUAGUCAUUAGAGGCAUGACCCACAAGACUAUAGUGUUGUCUUAUUUCUAAAAAUUUCUAACAUUGAGCGCUCAUAAUUAAUUACAUAUGUAAAAUGAAUCCUAUUAGUAUUUUUUUUAUUCUUAUCAUUUUCCAUGUUAUUUAAAUAUGUGAAAAUCAUUUUUUUUUUCUCAUUUAUUUAACUAGUAUUUUUUAGGAACCAAACAUGGUAUUAAACUUAUAUAGAAUAAGUUUGUUACAAAUCAUCUAUAAAAAAAAAAAUUCAUACAAAUUAUGGCUAAUAAUAUAUAUAUUAUUGAAUUAUUGUCCAUAGAAGGAUGACUCAACUCUCCUGCCGUGUUUGACUUGCAAGGAAUAUUGAGAGUGACCGUGACAAAAUUUUCCACAAAAAGAAGAAAAAAUGACAAUAUAAUCUUGUCCUCUUUUGUGUUUGCAGUUAGGCUGGGCCAUGCUAUUCAACACCAAUUAAUCACCCAAUCUAUUUAUAUAUUCAUAUUUGCAUAAAAUUAAACUUCACAUAUACAUCUAAUUAAAGGACAUUUAUUCCUCUAUUUGCAUACAUAAUAAUCCAAAUUAUAUAUUUUAGUUAUUUGGGUGAAUUUUCCAUAUAGUUGGGAACAAGUAAUAAAAAAUAAUGAAAAAAAAAGUCAACUAUUUAUCUUCCUUCAUGAUCAUGGAUAGAGCAAAAUAAAACUAGGAAAGAAUUCAAAUUCUUUUAUUUGGUUGGGAGGAAGAAUAUUAAAGGAAAAGUUAAAUUUGAUCAUAAUUAUGUAAAACAAUAUAUGUAUUUUAAAAUUCUUUAUUAUUUAUAUGACAACAAAAAAAACAAAUUUUAAAAUCAUGUGGAAAAAAGUUAUUAAUAUAUAAACAUAUUUAUAAAUAAAUAUUUAUUUAUUUAUUUUCUUUAUUUCUUUAAUUUUUUUAUUUCAUUUUUUCCACUGUGUAUACCUUCAUCUAAAAUAAGUAAAUAUACCUUUCAACCCUUUUAUAUAAGAAAAAUUCAAUCGUUACUAUGUAUUGAUAUAAUCCACUUCUAAAAUUAGGUUAUAUGAAAACAUUUUAAUUGAGUACUUAAAAUAAAAACUCUUCAUCCAUCCUCGGUAUUUCUUUUUCUUUUUCUUAUUUUAAUAAAUUUUCAAUUAAUUCAAAUCAUUAAAAAAAAUCCUUAAUAAAUAAAUUUAUAACAUUUCAUAUAACUUAUUACUAAAAGUCAUGUUAAAAAAGUUAUUAAAAUAAGGAAAGAAGAAGAUUAAAAAAAAAUUAAACUUUUUAUUUUAUAAUAGUAAAAAAAACUUUAAAAUACUUUUUAGUAUAAAAAAUUUAAAAUAGUGAAUAUAUUUAUUUUAAAUGGUAUUUUAAUCAUUAAAUUAUUUACUUCUAAAAUGUAAAAGAUAAAAAUAAAUGUAAAAGAUAAUUUUUAUUUAUUUAAAUUAAUAUUUUUUUAGAAAGCAUUUUCUCUUUGGAUCAUUAAUAUAAUUUUUGUUUAUUUAUAAUUUAAAAAUAAAAAAUAGUGUUAAAUUUUCAAUUAUAUCAAUUAUCCCAUUUCUAAAAUUCUUUACUCAAUUAUUGAAUUCAAAAAGGACGGCUGUGGAAGAAAUAACAUUGAUUUCACAGAGAGAGAGAGAGAGAGUUUAAAAUAUCAAGAAUUAUUUGUGGUUUUACAAGCUUCUCCAAUUUUGUUGAGCAUUAAAAUUUUUGAAAUUGAAUUAUUGUCCUUAGAAGGAUGACUCAACUCUUUGACAAAAUUUUCCAUGAAAAAUGCAACAAGACAGUCUAACACGUCUUUAUGCUGGGCUGGGCUGGGCUGGAGGGGGGUCAUCAUAGAAACAGUACACUCACUAUUUAUUAUAUUAAAGUAAAUAUAUUUGAUAAAUAAUUAAAAUAUUAUAAUUUUUUUUUUAAAAUAGAAAAAUAUAGGAUAAGACAAAAUAAUAUCUAAACCCACCCGAAUCCAACCCGAGUAUUAAAAAAUUUUCAAACCCACCGCAAACGUGUAUUCAAAUUUCAAAUUUGUCCUACAGGGUGGAAAAAACCCGCCCAGGACAGUUGCCAAAUCUGACUAGCAAAGAGUGUGGAAAGAUUUUCAGUGGUUCGAUUUGGCUUUUUAGGUGUUAGGUUUAGUGGUUGACUUGGAAAUGUGAUGCACAUUUUUGAGGAUGUGUCUUUAUAAUAUUAUUAUAUCUAUAGAAACUUAGCCCAAUCAACAAGAUGGGGCUGUGAGUGGAGAAAAAAGCUAUGAAUUCUACUCAUAUUGUCGAUGAAAAGUUUGAGAAGAAACAUGAUGAUGUUUUUGGUAUAGUUGAUAAAAAAUUUAUUGACUAUUAAAUUUUACAUUUUAAAUGUUUUUUUUUUCAUGUGUCGGUAGUUUGAUAUCUAUAGGAAUGUAAUGCUAAUACCAUUUAAGGGGGCAAUGAUUCAAAAUUUAAAUUCAUAAUGAUUGAUACCAUAAAAGUGAGAGUGUUUAAUGGUGUUGUAAGGACAUCGAGUAAUUUUUUUUGGGAGCUUUGGAAACAUUAGGCUAUGAUUUUUCUCGGUGAAAAAUGAUAUUAUAAAUUUCAACAAAAGUGCUUUGAUAGCUAUGAAAGGGGAAAAGAUGAAAAAAUUAUGUACUUUAAUUGGAAAGAUAAUUUAAGGUAGAGCUCUUAAGGUGGAGUCAUGCCAUGAAGAGUCUUUUACUGGUGUUAAAGAUAUUAUCGAGAGUAGAUGAACAUGAUAAGAUGAUUAGAACUCUAUUUUUCGGCUAAAAGUACCCAUUAACAUAAGGAUGAAAGCAAUUUCAAAAUAAAUAAAAUUAUGAAUAAAACAAAGAUGAUUUCAAUGAGAGUUUGAACUUGACGUAUGUUUAUUCUCAUUAAAUGUAUAGGAUUAAGAAAACUUAAGUCGAGAUGGAGAUUGUUGGUAUUUAACUCAAACUAUUUAUUUUUAAUUUUUAAGAAAGUUAAUAUUUAUAGAAGUUGCAUUUUUGUAAAUUAUUUAUUAACAAAAAGUAAUUGGAGCCGUUUGGAGCAAUAAGAAAAUUGUUUGCUAAGUUUGUAACUAGAUGCAUAAAAAUUCACGCAUAUUUCAAUAUCAUUAAAAUUAGUUAAAAACUUUUGCAUUUUCCAAUUAUUUCAUGGUUAUAUAAAAGAAUUGAAACAUAUGAGAUGAGUUUAAAGUGACAUACAAAAUAAAUAAUUAAAUUUAAAUUUAUUGUUUUCUUUUUUAUUUUAUUUUUUCUACUUUUGCCUUUAUUUUUUUCUCUCACAUUUUCCUCACAUUUUUUGAAGAAUCAAACAUGAACUUUAUAUGAAGUUCCCCAUAAAAAUAAAAAAUAAAAAAAGUAAAAAAUCGUAAGUUGAUGAAUCACAAUACUAAAAGUGCGUUUAACAGUGAUUACAUGAAACGUUUUUAAUAUUUUUAACACUUGAAAAUUUUUAUCUUUUUAAGUGUUAGAAGGAUAAAAAACGCUUUCGACAAUCAUUGUUAAACAGGUUUUAAAGAUCUAUCUUAACUAACCAUUCCCUUUCAUAAUUAUCAUAUUUUUCAUAAGUAAGAUGAAUUUAACAAAUACACAAUGUUAUUCACAAUGGAAGAAAUAUCAAAUAUAAAAACUCAUUUUUCUUCAAAUUAGGAUAUCAUUUCAAAGUUUUAGUGAUGAGGCUUUGGUAAAGUAGAUUGGGGCUGUGUGAGGGAGAGUAGAGACGAAGUGACUCGAUUUGGGUCUUUGACACGUUUUUAUUCCAUGCCAUGUCAUCCUCCGGCUUGGCAUCCAAUUGAGAUACUCAUUGAAGCUUGGGCGUGAAACUCUUCAAAGGGGAUUGUUCUUCGGACUUUUCUCAAUAGUGCAGUAAUUUAAAAAAGUUAUUCUUAAAUUACUAUAGUGGAAGAAGUUAUUACAAAUAUAGGGUAGUUUUUGCCACAUAGGAGAGAGGAGAGAGGAGAGAGGGUGAGAGAGAGGAGAGAGGAGAGAGGAGAGAGGAGAUAGGAGAUAGGAGAGAGGAGAGAGGAGAUAGGAGAUAGGAGAUAGGAGAGAGGAGAGAGGGUGAACGAUAAAAUUUUUUAAAAAAGCGAACUCGUCUCUUGAAGAGACGAGUUCCAUGAAAGAUAAUUAUUCAAGGAAACUCAUCUCUUCAAGAGACGAGUUCCCAUUAAAAAAAAAUAUAUAUAUUUUUAAAAAAUUCACAAAUUAAAAAAAAUAAAAUAAAAUUUGGAACUAAAGGGAACUCGUGUGAAGAGACGAGUUCCCAUGGGAAAAAAAAUAUAUUAUUUUUUAAAAAUAUAUUUUUCAUUUAAAAAAAAUCCCAAAAAAAAAAAAAAUCCUAAAGGAACUCGUCUCUUGAAGAGACGAGUUCCUUGGGAAAAAAAAUAUUUUUUUUUAAAAAUAUAUUUUUUAUUUUAAAAAAUCCCAAAUUUAAAAAAAAAAAAAAAAAAAAAAAAACACAAUUCCAAAGGGAACUCGUCUCUUCAAGAGACGAGUUCCCAUGUAAAAAAAAAAUAUUUUUUUAAAUAUAUAUUAAAAAAAAAAAAAAAAACAAUUCCUAAAGGGAACUCGUCUCUUCAAGAGACGAGUUCCCAUGUAAAAAAAAAAUAUUUUNNNNNNNNNNNNNNNNNNNNNNNNNNNNNNNNNNNNNNNNNNNNNNNNNNNNNNNNNNNNNNNNNNNNNNNNNNNNNNNNNNNNNNNNNNNNNNNNNNNNAAAAAAAAAAUUUUUUUUUUAAUAUUUUUUUAAAAAAAAAAAAAAAACAAUUUUUAAUAGGAACUUGUUUUUUCAAGAGAGGGGUUUCCCUGUAAAAAAAAAAAAUUUUUUUUUAAAAUUUUUUUUUUUAAAAAAAAAAAUUCCAGGGGGGGGUUCAAAAAAAAAAUAUUUUUUUUAAAAUUUUUUUUUUUUUUUAAAAAAUCCCCAAUUUAAAAAAAAAAAAAAAAAAAAAAAACAAUUCCUCAAAAUUCCUAAAGAAGAGACGAGUUCCCAUGUAAAAAAAAUAUUUUUUUUUAAAUAUAUAUAUAUAUAUAUAUAUAUAUAUAUAUAUAUAUAUAUAUAUAUAUAUAUAUAUAUAUAUAUAAAAAAAAAUUUCAAGAGAUGAGUUCAAAAAAAAUAUUCUUUUUUUAAAAAAUAUAUUUUUUAUUUUAAAAAAUCCCAAAUUAAAAAAAAAAAAAAAAAACACAAUUCCAAAGGAAGAGACGAGUUCCCAUGUAAAAAAAAUAUUUUUUUAAAUAUAUAUUAAAAUAAAAAAAAAUUAAAAAAAAAAAAAAAAACAAUUCCUAAAGGGAACUCGUCUCUUCAAGAGUCGAGUUCCCAUGUAAAAAAAAAUAUUUUUUUUAAAAAUAUAUAUAUAUAAAAAAAAAUUUCAAGAGACGAGUUCAAAAAAAAUAUAUUUUUUUUAAAAAUAUAUUUUUUAUUUUAAAAAAUCCCAAAAUUAAAAAAAAAAAAAAAAAAAAAAACCAUUCCUCAAAAUUCCUAAAGAAAAAAGGUUUCCCCGUGAAAAAAAAAAAUUAUUUUUUUAAAAAANNNNNNNNNNNNNNNNNNNNNNNNNNNNNNNNNNNNNNNNNNNNNNNNNNNNNNNNNNNNNNNNNNNNNNNNNNNNNNNNNNNNNNNNNNNNNNNNNNNNGUUCCCCUGUAAAAAAAAAUAUUUUUUUUAAAAAUUUUUUUUUUUAAAAAAAAAUUUCCAGGGGGGGGUUCAAAAAAAAUUUUUUUUUUUUAAAAAUAUGUUUUUUUUUUUAAAAAAUCCCAAAACUAAAAAAAAAAAAAAAAAAAAAAACCGUUCCUCAAAAUUCCUAAAGAAGAAAUGAGUUCCCAUGUAAAAAAAAAUAUUUUUUUUAAAAAAUAUAUAUAUAUGUAAAAAAAAAAAAUUUCAAGAGGCGAGUUCAAAAAAAAUAUAUUUUUAAAAAAAUAUAUAUUUUUUAUUUUAAAAAAUUCCAAAUUUAAAAAAAAAAAAAAAAAAAAAACACAAUUCCAAAGGGAACUCGUCUCUUGAAGAGACGAGUUCCCAUGUAAAAAAAUAUAUAUAUAUAUAUUUUAAAUAUAUAUAUUAAAAAAAAAAAAAAACAAUUCCUCAAAAUUCNNNNNNNNNNNNNNNNNNNNNNNNNNNNNNNNNNNNNNNNNNNNNNNNNNNNNNNNNNNNNNNNNNNNNNNNNNNNNNNNNNNNNNNNNNNNNNNNNNNNCAAAUUUGGGGUUUUUUAAAAAAAAAAAAAUAUUUUUUAAAAAAAUUUUUUUUUUUCCUAAAAGGAACUUUGAAAUUUUUUUUUUUUUUUUUUUCAUGGGAACUUGUUUUUUCAAGAGGCGAGUUCCCCUUUGGAGGAAAUGUUUUUUUUUUUUUUUUUUUAAUAAAUAUAUUUAAAAAAAAAGUAUUUUUUUUUUUUACAUGGGAACUCGUCUUUUCAAGAGACGAGUUCCCUUUGGAAUUGUUUUUUUUUUUUUUUUAAUUUAGGAUUUUUAAAAUUUAAAAAUAUAUUUAAAAAAAAAUAUUUUUUUCCUAAAGGAACUCGUCUCUUGAAUAGACGAGUUCCCUUUAGGAAAUUUUUUUUUUCAAAUAUAUAUAUAUAUUUUUAAAAAAAAUAUUUUUUUUACAUGGGAACUCGUCUCUUGAAAAGACGAGUUCCCUUUGGAAUUGUGUUUUUUUUUUUUUUUUUUUUUUUUUUAAUUUGGGAUUUUUUAAAAUAAAAAAUAUAUUUAAAAAAAAUAUUUUAAAAAAAAAUAUUUUUUUUUCCAAGGAACUCGUCUCCCUUUAGGAAUUUUUUUUUUUAAAUAAAAAAUAUAUUUUAAAUAAAUAAUAUAUAUUUUUUCCUAUGGGAACUCAUCUCUUCAGACGAGUUCCCUUUAGUUCCAAAUUUUUUUUUUAAUUUGUGAAUUUUUUAAAAAUAUAUAUAUAUAUAUUUUUUUAAUUGGAACUCGUCUCUUGAAGAGACGAGUUUCCUUGAAUAAUUCUCUUUCAUGGAACUCGUCUCUUCAAGAGACGAGUUCAAGAGACGAGUUCGCUUUUUUAAAAAUUUUUAUUCCUUCACCCUCUCUCCUCUCUCCUAUCUCCUCUCUCCUCUCUCCUCUCUCUCACCCUCUCUCCUCUCUACUAUGUGGCAAAAACUACCCUAUAUUUGUAAUAACUUCUUCCACUACAGUAAUUUAAGAAUAACUUUUUUAAAUUAAUGCACUAUUGAGAAAAGUCCAUUGUUCUUCAACUUUAGCCUUUUUUUGUAUUGCCACUAACCACUAAAUAGGCGGAUUUUAGAAAAUGAAUACAGUAUUUUUAAAAAUAUGAUAAUUAAAAAAUUAUUUCCAAUUCCAUGACAAUUUGUAUGAUUUUUUUUUUUAAAUACAUCAUUGGAAAACACAAGAUAACGACGUCGUUCGAAGCAGAACUGUAAGGCGCCCUUCGGCCGAGCAUCGACUCUCUUCACUGCAAUCGGUGGCUUUUGCGGUCUCUCUCUAGCUCUAGGUAUCAGAUCUCUUCGUUUAUUAGAAUUUUUCUUUGUUUGUUUGAUGAGAAACUGAAAGAAAAUGAGAUGGAUGGAAUGUUCUGAAUCUUAAAGUUUUCAUCAUUUACACCUGGUGGAAACAGAAUCUUCCCCUAAAUUAGCGUUGUAUACGUAUUUAGCUGAAUUUAGAAUUUUCAAUUUCUUUUCUUUUCCUUAAUUUUAUCAGCAUCCAAGCAGUCAUUUAGGGUUUUUCUGGCUUGAGAUAUUGGCAUUUGAUCUAUUUGAUUUUUAUUCUUGUUCAGAAAAAUGUAAAUAUAUUUGCUAAAGAAUUAGAAUAACCAAAAAUUGAUCGUCUUAAUUCACAUCCAUAUUUAGCGUUGUUGGGUGAAUUCAUCAAUAAGGAAAAAUGCAGUUCUUUGGAGGGUCGGAGAUCAGCCCAUUGCCGCCGCUGCCAACAGCAUCGGGAAACAAUGGCCACAUGAUGUAUGUGUUUAACAGGAAUGGGGUGUGCUUGCUUCACAGGAAUGGAAUCGCCCUCUUAGGACUCUGAAUGCCCAGCAAGACCAUAAGCUCAUGUUUGGUCUGCUUUUCUCUCUUAAGUCCUUAACAGCUGAGAUGGAUCCCACUGAGUAUAUCUUCUUCCUAGUCUUUGAUUCGAAUUGGAACUGUUUUCGGGGAAAUGGAAUUACUUGAUUUUGUAUUUGGAUAACUUUUGAAAGCAUAAAUUCAUUGUUUGGAAUAGAAUUAUGACAUAUAUGUAAGAAGAAAGAAAUCAGGAUGAGCAAAAGGACAUAAUUUGAACUGAUAAAUUCAAACUCGGGAUGAUUAAAAAAAACAUGGAAAACAAGGUUGCCAAAUUUAUUUGCAAUUACAAACACCAUCCGAGUAGUUUAUACUUCACGUCAUCCAGCAACCGAAAAUAAGCAUGUCUCCAAGCUCUGUUGAAUGCUAAUGGAGCCAAAAUGGCCCAAAAGCCAACCACGAAACCCCAUGGCAUACCCAAAUAGAACCAUUUCAUAUCAAUCCAUCCAUUGUCCGGAAUUGGACCUUUUGGUUUACCAUCUUCACCACAAUCAUCAGUCAGUGGAGCUCCACAAAGCUCCGGGUUGCCAAUGAAACUGAGGGCACUAAAGCCUUGGAUCUGGGUGCCUGAUGGAAUUUUGCCAGACAAGUUGUUGUAUGACAAAUUUAAACUGCUCAAAAAUGAUAUAUUUGCCAUACCUUGAGGAAUAACACCAGAGAGUCCAUUCAUGGAGAGAUCAAGAGACUCCAGUGAUGUCAUGGCCCCAAUCUUCACAGGAAUCUUCCCUUGGAGAUGGUUAUUAGACAGGUUCAAGAAUAUCAAACCAUGGAGAUCUGUGAGUUCUUCUGGGAUCUCACCAGAUAACUUAUUGCUUGAGAGGUCCAUGCCAGCUAGGAGGCCAAGUGUUUUGUCGUACUCAUACUCUAUUCCUUUCAUAACCAGUGUUGCUGUGUCGGUUGAUCCCGAUUCAAAAUGUUCAUUAUGAAAACGAAAGGGGGAACUUGAAUUCAAUUCUUUGAUCAUGCUGCUGAAAUUACCAAAGCAUCUAGGAAUGGUUCCCGAGAGAUUGUUGUUUCCCAAGUCCAAGAUUUGAAGGGAAUGAAGGUGGCAGAGUUCAAGAGGAAUACUUCCAGUGAACUUAUUUGAAUGCAGGACAAGAACCAUUAGACCCGGUGUAUAUCCAAUCUCACCAACCCCUGGAAAUAUUUCAAUGAAGUUCCCCAUCCAUGCUGGUAUCGUCCCAGUGAAUUCAUUCUUACUAAGGUCUAGAACCAGUAGACUAGAGCAAUUUUUCAAUGGAAGUGGAAAAUUUCCGGAGAGAUGGUUGUUGCGCAAGUGCAAUGAACCGAGCCAAAUUAGAGAACCCAUGGAGCUAGGUAUAUGUCCCGUCAGAUUAUUAUUUCCCAAUUUUAACAUCAUCAAUUCUCUCCAAUACAUCCAACAAUUGGGAAGUUCUCCUGACAGAAGAUUUCCUGAGAUGUCUAGAUACCACAAUAAAUUUACUUUUUUAGUUCUCCGACACAACAUAGGUGAAAGAGAUCCACGGAAUAAAUUAUUGGAGAGGUCUAGUUCUUCUACAUCAGAAGAGAUUGGGGGCAGUGGACCAGUGAAAUUGUUUGAGCUGAGAUAGAUACAGGAUGAAUGUAAACUUGGAAUACUACCAAUGAUUUGGUUGUGAGAUAGAUCUACAAAAUAAUAGGGUCGUGUCCAAAACCAAGCUGGGAUGACACUGGAGAUUCCUGCAUAGGACAUGUUUAGAUAGUCCAAAUACUUCUGUGUUUGAAGCCAUGCAGGAAAUUGAGGCCCUAGAAGGCAAGAACCCAAGUCUAAGUCUGUGAGUUGAAAAGGAGGAGUCCAGUUGGAGCUGACUUGCAAAGUUAACAAGUUUGAAGAUGCAUCCAAUUGUUUUAAACUUGUUAGAUUGGCAAGGUGCUUUUCAGAUAUAAUACCCUCGAAGAAGUUUUCCCUAAUCUUUAGAUAACGCAAGGAUGAAAUUCCUCCUAAUGAGAUAGGAAUAUGACCAGAAAACGAGUUUCCAUCAAUAGAAAGAGAGGACAAACUUUUGAAUUGGCCAAGUUCAUUGGGCAAAUGACCUGAAAGCCGAUUUUUUGCCAGGUUUAAAUGUUCUAAACUUUUACAUUCUCCAAGAGUAUCUGGAAAAGAACCUGAAAGCUUAUUUCCUCUCAAGCUUAAAAACUCUAGACCUUUUCGAGGCCUAUCAUAUGAAGAAUUCGAAAGUUGAAAACUACAAAGAUUUCCAAGAGAUCUCAGCACGUCUCCUUCAAGAGCAUUGUUUGAUAGGUAAAGAUAUGUGAUAGAAGUGAGAUUUCCAAUAUCAUUUGGAAGCAUACCAUGAAAAUAGUUAUGUGUAAGAUCGAGGUAUUCAAGGCUAGUUAUAUGAUAUAACCAAUCAGGAAUAGGAGAAGCAAAAUUGUUAUAGGAAAGAUCUAGGAAUUUAAGAGAAGUCAUGUUACGAAGACCUGAUGGAAUUGGACCAUGAAUAUUACUGUAUGCUAGAUUAAGAGUAACAAGAGAAUUAAGAUUAGCAAACCAAUCAAAUGAUGAAGACAUAAAAUAAUUACUUGAAAGGUCAAGGAUGACUAAGGAUGAAAAAUUGACAUGCGGGAGAGGGUCAAAAGUAUCAAGCUCACAAUAAGACAAGCGUAGCACAGAUAAAGAAUGAAACUUAUUCAUUACCUGUAGCCAAUUUGAUGCCUUGCUUAGGUUCACAUUUGCCAUGUCAAGGAAUUUUAGGAAG
This 30062-nucleotide long non-coding RNA is filed under the name Vitis vinifera (wine grape). Its description in RNAcentral is "long non-coding RNA (VVIN_LNC005527)". The record is from RNAcentral. Lineage: Eukaryota; Viridiplantae; Streptophyta; Magnoliopsida; Vitales; Vitaceae.